AUUGAACGCUGGCGGCAUGCCUAACACAUGCAAGUCGAACGAGUGGCGGACGGGUGAGUAAUGUAUGGGAAACUGCCCGUUGGAGGGGGAUAACGACUGGAAACGGUAGCUAAUCCCGCAUACCAUCAGAUGUGCCUAGAUGGGAUUAGCUUGGUGGUGGGGUAACGCAUCACCAAGGCGACGAUCUCAAGCUGGUCUGAGAGGAUGACCAGCAACACUGGAGCGGAGACACGCACCAGAAUCGUACGGGAGGCAGCAGUGGGGAUAAUUGCACAAUGAGCGCAAGCCUGAUGCAGCCAUGCCGCGUGUCUGAAGAAGGCCUUCGGGGUGUAAAGUACUUUCAGCGGGGAGGCGUUACCCGCAGAAGAAGCACCGGCUAACUCCGUGCCAGCAGCCGCGGUAAUAC
This 406-nucleotide ribosomal RNA is filed under the name uncultured bacterium. RNAcentral describes it as "partial 16S ribosomal RNA". It matches the Rfam family "Bacterial small subunit ribosomal RNA", at positions 30 to 526 of the family's 1533-position model. The record is from RNAcentral.